GAUGAACGCUGGCGGCGUGCCUAAUACAUGCAAGUCGAGCGAACGGACGAGAGGCUUGCUUCUCUGAUGUUAGCGGCGGACGGGUGAGUAACACGUGGAUAACCUACCUAUAAGUCUGGGAUAACUUCGGGAAACCGGAGCUAAUACCGGAUAAUAUUUUGAACCGCAUGGUUCAAAAGUGAAAGACGGUCUUGCUGUCACUUAUAGAUGGAUCCGCGCUGCAUUAGCUAGUUGGUAAGGUAACGGCUUACCAAGGCAACGAUGCAUAGCCGACCUGAGAGAGGGAUAGGCCACACGGGAACGGAGACAGCGUCCUGACUCCUACGGGAGGCAGCAGUAGGGAAUCUUCCGCAAUGGGCGAAAGCCUGACGGAGCAACGCCGCGUGAGUGAUGAAGGUCUUCGGAUCGUAAAACUCUGUUAUUAGGGAAGAACAUAUGUGUAAGUAACUGUGCACAGCUUGACGGUACCUAAUCAGAAAGCCACGGCUAACUACGUG
RNAcentral lists this ribosomal RNA (497 nucleotides) under uncultured bacterium. Its description in RNAcentral is "partial 16S ribosomal RNA". It matches the Rfam family "Bacterial small subunit ribosomal RNA", at positions 28 to 507 of the family's 1533-position model. The record is from RNAcentral.